CACGGCGACACCGGGCACGGGCACGGCGACACCGGCGGCACCGGCCGAGCAUCCCCCGGGGCGAUGGAGCCGCCGCGGAGCCUCCCGGGGCUGGAGCGGGAGCGCGGCGCGCUGGACGCGGCCGGAGGGUGCCCGUCCCCGCUGGACGCCAAGGCCGUGCCCGGCAGGAAGGUCUGGGUCAAGCUGCGGGCGCUGCUCCGUUUCCUGGUGAAGCAGCUGGAGGCGGGCGAGGUGAGCGUGGAGGAGCUGAAGCGCAACCUGGAGUACGCGGCCUCGCUGCUCGAGGCCGUGUGCAUCGACGAGACCAGGCAGGUGCUGGACACGGAGGACGAGCUGCGGGACAUGGGCUCGGACGCGGCCGUGCCCUCCGAGGUGCGCGACUGGCUGGCGGCCACCUUCACGCAGCAGGCGCGGGCCAAGGGCCGCCGCGCCGAGGAGAAACCCAAAUUCCGCAGCAUCGUGCACGCCGUGCAGGCCGGCAUCUUCGUGGAGAGGAUGUUCCGCCGGACGUACACGGCCGUGGGGCCGAGCUACUCCUCCUCCGUCCUCAACUGCCUGAAGGGGCUGGACCAGUGGUGCUUUGACGUGUUCUCGCUGCACCGCGCGGCCGAGGAGCACUCGCUGCGCACGGUGGUGUUCGAGCUCUUCACCCGCCACAACCUCAACAGCCGCUUCAAGGUGUGCCCGGCGCCCCAAAACCCCAAAAAAUACCCAAAAAUACCCCCUGCAACCUCAACAGCCGCUUCAAGGUGUGCCCGGCGCCCCAAAACCCCAAAAAUACCCCAAAAAACCAAUCCCCACAACCUCAACAGCCGCUUCAAGAUUCCCGGCGCGUUCCUGACGUCGCUGCUGGAGGCGCUGGAGGGCGGCUACGGAAAGUUCCGGAACCCCUACCACAACCAGGUGCACGCGGCCGACGUCACCCAGACCGUGCACUGCUUCCUGCUGCGCACCGGCAUGCUGCACUGCCUGUCCGAGAUCGAGCUCCUGGCCAUCGUCUUCGCCGCCGCCAUCCACGACUUCGAGCACACGGGGACAACAAACAGCUUCCACAUCCAGACCAAGUCGGACACCGCCAUCCUGUACAACGACCGCUCGGUGCUGGAGAACCACCACAUCAGCGCCGUGUUCCGCCUGAUGCAGGACGAGGAGCUCAACAUCUUCGUCAACCUCACCAAGGACGAGUUCGCGGAGCUGCGGGCGCUGGUCAUCGAGAUGGUCCUGGCCACCGACAUGUCCUGCCACUUCCAGCAGGUCAAGUCCAUGAAGACGGCGCUGCAGCAGCUGGAGAGGCUGGACAAGUCCAAGGUGCUGUCGCUGCUGCUGCACGCGGCCGACAUCAGCCACCCCACCAAGCAGUGGGCGGUGCACAGCCGCUGGACCAAGGCCCUCAUGGAGGAGUUCUUCCGGCAGGUAGGGCCGGGGCCGGGCGGGGGGAGUGGGGGACACCCCGUGGGGACGCCACGGAUGUCCCUUGCCUUGCCAGGGGGACAAGGAGGCCGAGCUGGGGCUGCCCUUCUCGCCCCUCUGCGACCGCACCUCCACGCUGGUGGCCCAGUCACAAAUCGGGUUCAUCGACUUCAUCGUGGAGCCGACGUUCUCGGUGCUCACCGACGUGGCCGAGAAGUUGGUGACGCCGCUGGCCGAGGACGGCUCCAAGGCCAAGGGCAACCCCGCGGCCACCCAGCAGCCCAGGUGGGUGUCCCUGUCCCCAAGGUUUGUGCCCUGUGGUGGCAGCGGUGGCCCUGGCCCGCUGCCAGCUGUCGCCGUUGUCCCCCAGCUCGCAGUGGCGGCAGCCGUCCCUGGAUGAGCACCUGGAGCUGGGGGACGUCAAAGCCGACCUGGCCGGGUUCCGCUCCACCUGGACCAAGCACAUCCAGGAGAACAAGCAGAAGUGGAAGGAGAGGGCGGCCAGCGGUAGGGGACGGCCACCAUGGCCACCAUGGCCACCAUGGCCAGUACAGCCACCACAGGCAGUACAGCCACCAUGGCCACCAUGGCCACUAUGGCAACUAUGGCCAGUACAGCCACCACAGGCAGUACAGCCACCAUGGCCACCAUGGCCACUAUGGCAACUAUGGCCAGUACAGCCCCCACAGGCAGUACAGCCACCACAGCCACCAUGGCCACCACAGCCACUAUGGCAACUAUGGCCACCAAUGGCCACCAUGGCUGCCAAUGACCACCAAUGGCCAUCAUGGCCAGUACAGCCACCACAGCCACUAUGACCACCAAUGGCCACCAAUGGCCACCACGGCCACCAAUGGCCACCAAUGGCCACCACUGUGGCCACCAGGGAGGGCUUGGGGACCACCGUGAACUGCUCAGGGCCAGCUCUGUCCCAGUGUGAGGUGACACAAACGCGGCGCGGGUGGCCCUGGGCUGUGCAGGGGGGUGGCCCCGGGGGGGACAGAAGUUCUGGGGUGUCCCAGUGACCCCGGGCCAUGCCCCGGUGACCCUGCCCGUGCCCCCAGGCAUCACCAACCAGGCGUCCAUCGAUGAGCUGUCCCCGUGCGAGGAGCCCGCGGCCACCGGGACCCACAGCGAGAACGGGGACGUGGAAUAGCGGCGGGAGGAGCCAGGUCCUUGUCCGAGUGUCUUGUCUUCGAUGCCAUCGAGUUCAG
Molecule: RNA transcript, 2624 nt
Organism: Passer montanus (Eurasian tree sparrow)
Lineage: Eukaryota; Metazoa; Chordata; Aves; Passeriformes; Passeridae
Gene: PDE1B
Gene name: phosphodiesterase 1B
Exons: 13
Source: RefSeq, a predicted model, not a curated record